This 1372-nucleotide ribosomal RNA is filed under the name uncultured bacterium. Its description in RNAcentral is "bacterial SSU rRNA". It matches the Rfam family "Bacterial small subunit ribosomal RNA", at positions 28 to 1381 of the family's 1533-position model. The record is from RNAcentral.
GAUGAACGCUGGCGGCGUGCCUAAUACAUGCAAGUCGAGCGAACGGACGAGAAGCUUGCUUCUCUGAUGUUAGCGGCGGACGGGUGAGUAACACGUGGAUAACCUACCUAUAAGACUGGGAUAACUUCGGGAAACCGGAGCUAAUACCGGAUAAUAUUUUGAACCGCAUGGUUCAAAAGUGAAAGACGGUCUUGCUGUCACUUAUAGAUGGAUCCGCGCUGCAUUAGCUAGUUGGUAAGGUAACGGCUUACCAAGGCAACGAUGCAUAGCCGACCUGAGAGGGUGAUCGGCCACACUGGAACUGAGACACGGUCCAGACUCCUACGGGAGGCAGCAGUAGGGAAUCUUCCGCAAUGGGCGAAAGCCUGACGGAGCAACGCCGCGUGAGUGAUGAAGGUCUUCGGAUCGUAAAACUCUGUUAUUAGGGAAGAACAUAUGUGUAAGUAACUGUGCACAUCUUGACGGUACCUAAUCAGAAAGCCACGGCUAACUACGUGCCAGCAGCCGCGGUAAUACGUAGGUGGCAAGCGUUAUCCGGAAUUAUUGGGCGUAAAGCGCGCGUAGGCGGUUUUUUAAGUCUGAUGUGAAAGCCCACGGCUCAACCGUGGAGGGUCAUUGGAAACUGGAAAACUUGAGUGCAGAAGAGGAAAGUGGAAUUCCAUGUGUAGCGGUGAAAUGCGCAGAGAUAUGGAGGAACACCAGUGGCGAAGGCGACUUUCUGGUCUGUAACUGACGCUGAUGUGCGAAAGCGUGGGGAUCAAACAGGAUUAGAUACCCUGGUAGUCCACGCCGUAAACGAUGAGUGCUAAGUGUUAGGGGGUUUCCGCCCCUUAGUGCUGCAGCUAACGCAUUAAGCACUCCGCCUGGGGAGUACGACCGCAAGGUUGAAACUCAAAGGAAUUGACGGGGACCCGCACAAGCGGUGGAGCAUGUGGUUUAAUUCGAAGCAACGCGAAGAACCUUACCAAAUCUUGACAUUCUUUGACAACUCUAGAGAUAGAGCUUUCCCCUUCGGGGGACAAAGUGACAGGUGGUGCGUGGUUGUCGUCAGCUCGUGUCGUGAGAUGUUGGGUUAAGUCCCGCAACGAGCGCAACCCUUAAGCUUAGUUGCCAUCAUUAAGUUGGGCACUCUAAGUUGACUGCCGGUGACAAACCGGAGGAAGGUGGGGAUGACGUCAAAUCAUCAUGCCCCUUAUGAUUUGGGCUACACACGUGCUACAAUGGACAAUACAAAGGGCAGCGAAACCGUGAGGUCAAGCAAAUCCCAUAAAGUUGUUCUCAGUUCGGAUUGUAGUCUGCAACUCGACUACAUGAAGCUGGAAUCGCUAGUAAUCGUAGAUCAGCAUGCUACGGUGAAUACGUUCCCGGGUCU